AGAGUUUGAUCAUGGCUCAGAUUGAACGCUGGCGGCGUGCUUAACACAUGCAAGUCGAUCGGUAACGCGGGGGCAACCCUGGCGACGAGAGGCGGACGGGUGAGUAACGCUUGGGAAUCUGCCCAUCAGCGGGGGACAACCCGGGGAAACUCGGGCUAAUACCGUAUACGCUCCACGGAGGAAAGCAGGGGACCGCAAGGCCUUGCACUGAUGGAUGAGCCCAAGUCGGAUUAGCUUGUUGGCGGGGUAACGGCCCACCAAGGCGACGAUCCGUAGCUGGUCUGAGAGGACGAUCAGCCACACUGGGACUGAGACACGGCCCAGACUCCUACGGGAGGCAGCAGUGGGGAAUAUUGGACAAUGGGCGAAAGCCUGAUCCAGCGACGCCGCGCGGGUGAAGAAGGCCUGCGGGUUGUAAAGCCCUUUCGGUAGGGACGAAAGCUUCCGACCUAACACGUCGGAAGGUUGACUUAACCUACAAAAGAAGCACCGGCUAACUCUGUGCCAGCAGCCGCGGUAAUACAGAGGGUGCGAGCGUUAAUCGGAAUUACUGGGCGUAAAGCGCACGCAGGCGGCUUUGCAAGUCGGGUGUGAAAUCCCCGGGCUCAACCUGGGAACUGCAUUCGAGACUGCAUUGCUCGAGUAUGGGAGAGGGAAGUGGAAUUUCCGGUGUAGCGGUGAAAUGCGUAGAUAUCGGAAGGAACAUCAGUGGCGAAGGC
Molecule: ribosomal RNA, 719 nt
Filed under: uncultured bacterium
Lineage: Bacteria
Description: bacterial SSU rRNA
Rfam family: Bacterial small subunit ribosomal RNA
Source: RNAcentral